This 972-nucleotide long non-coding RNA is filed under the name Homo sapiens (human). RNAcentral's name for it is "non-protein coding lnc-OR4F29-3:9". The record is from RNAcentral. Lineage: Eukaryota; Metazoa; Chordata; Mammalia; Primates; Hominidae.
AUUUUCCUAGUUUCUCCUCCCCCUUUGCUUUUUGCUCUCUUGUUAGUAUAUUAAUUGUUUUCACUCUCUGAAUCUUUUUUCCCCAUUUCUUUGGCAGACAUUUUUACUUGUCAGAGUUCAGCCCCUUUUGCCCUCUUGCUUUCUUGCACUCUCUUUUCCUUCUGCCUUCUGUAGUGGGAUGAUGCAGCAAGAAGACCUUUACCAGAUGCAGGCCCCUCAACCUUGGACUUCCUAACAUCCAGAAGCUUGCUGGUCUCUCCCUGUCCUACAAAAGAGCAUACCUCUUCUGUAACCAGAAGGCCCUUUUGAUUAGUCAAGGCUGGACAGAGUGAGAUUGGGGGUGUGUGUGUGUGUGUGUGUGUGUUUGUGUGUGUCUUGAGACAGGGUCUCACUCUGUCACCAAGGCUAGAGUGCAGUGGUGAGAUCAGAGCUCACUGCAGCUUCCACUUCCUGGGCUCAAUUGAGUGAAAUUACCAUAAAAAUAAUAAUAGUAGCAGCUAAUAUUUACUGAGCUGUUACUAGGUGCAUCCAGGAAGAGAAACUGACUGGGCAACAUGUUAUUCAGGUACAAAAAGACUUGGACUGGAUAAGCCUGGGAGCGCCACGCGAACCCAGGGCUUAUUUCAUCCCUUAUCUAUGACUGUAAAAGACAGCCGUCCCCAAAGCGGCCAUUUCAGAGGCCUCCCCUUAGGGAUGCAUUCUCUUUCUCAGGGAUGUUCUUUGCUGAGAAAAAGAAUUCAGCAAUACUUCUCCUAUUUGCUUUUGAAAGAAGAGAAAUAUGGCUCUGUUCAACCCGGCCCACAGGCAGCCAGAGUUUAAGGUUAUCUCCCUUGUUCCCUGAAAUUGCUGUUAUCCUGUUCUUUUUUCAAGGUGCCCAGGUUUCAUAUUGUUUAAACAACUUGUGCAGUUAACGCAAUUAUCACAGGGUCCUGCGGGGACAUUCAUCCUCAGCUUACGAAGAUGACCGGAUUA